Molecule: ribosomal RNA, 423 nt
Filed under: Gerris buenoi
Lineage: Eukaryota; Metazoa; Arthropoda; Insecta; Hemiptera; Gerridae
Description: partial 16S ribosomal RNA
Source: RNAcentral
GAUAUGAACUCUCCGAAAAAAUUACGCUGUUAUCCCUAAGGUAAGUUAAUCUUAUAAUCAAAAAUUCUGGAUCAAAAAAACAUAAAUUAAUGAAUAAAAUAUUAAAAGUUAAAUAAAUUUUAAUGUCACCCCAACAAAACUUUAUAUUCUAAAAAAUUAUUUAAUAAACAAAAAAUAAUAAUUAAUAAAUAAAGUAAACUUCUAUAGGGUCUUCUCGUCCUAUAAAAAAAUUUUAGCUUUUUAACUAAAAAAUUAAAUUCAAAAUAAUUAAAAAAAGAAAGUUUAUUUUUCAUCAAACCAUUCAUACUAGCCUUCAAUUAAAAGACAAAUGAUUAUGCUACCUUCGUACAGUUAAAAUACCGCAGCCUUUUAAUUCAUAAAAAUCAAUGGGCAGGUCUGAUCUUAAAUUAAAAUCAAAAGACC